GGUUAAGCGAAUGAAGCGUACACGGUGGAUGCCUAGGCAGUCAGAGGCGAUGAAGGACGUGCUAAUCUGCGAAAAGCGUCGGUAAGCUGAUAUGAAGCGUUAUAGCCGGCGAUGUCCGAAUGGGGAAACCCAGUGCAUUAAUGCACUAUCGUUUGAUGAAUUCAUAGUCAAACGAGGCGAACCGGGGGAACUGAAACAUCUCAGUACCCCGAGGAAAAGAAAUCAACCGAGAUUCCCCUAGUAGCGGCGAGCGAACGGGGAGUAGCCCAGAGUCAGCAUCGAUAUUAGCAUCAGGAGAAGGGUCUGGAAAGGCCAGCCAUAAAGGGUGAUAGCCCCGUAUCCGAAGGUGUUAGUAUCGUGAGCUCGAAGAGUAGGGCGGGACACGUGUUAUCCUGUCUGAAUAAGGGGGGACCAUCCUCCAAGGCUAAAUACUCCUGACUGACCGAUAGUGAACCAGUACCGUGAGGGAAAGGCGAAAAGAACCCCGGCGAGGGGAGUGAAAGAGAACCUGAAACCGUGUACGUACAAGCAGUGGGAGCCCCACCACCAAAGUAUUUCUGCAAGCGGUUUGACGGUUGGCGGCGCACAGCGACGCCCAACCCAUCCAAUCAAGCAGGGUGAAUACCAUCGAAUCAAGGCGCGAGGUUCAGGCCAAAUCAGGUAAAACCUGAAUCCGGUUGAAUCAAGCAAAUUGACGAAGAUGAGAGGGAUUGCCGAAGGCAAUCGCCGCAAAGUACGGAGUACUUUGGGGUGGGGUGACUGCGUACCUUUUGUAUAAUGGGUCAGCGACUUAUAUUCUGUAGCAAGGUUAACCGCAUAGGGGAGCCGUAGGGAAACCGAGUCUUAACUGGGCGUCAAGUUGCAGGGUAUAGACCCGAAACCCGGUGAUCUAGCCAUGGGCAGGUUGAAGGUUGGGUAACACUAACUGGAGGGCCGAACCGACUAAUGUUGAAAAAUUAGCGGAUGACUUGUGGCUGGGGGUGAAAGGCCAAUCAAACCGGGAGAUAGCUGGUUCUCCCCGAAAGCUAUUUAGGUAGCGCCUCGUGAACUCAUCUUCGGGGGUAGAGCACUGUUUCGGCUAGGGGGUCAUCCCGACUUACCAACCCGAUGCAAACUCCGAAUACCGAAGAAUGUAAUCACGGGAGACACACGGCGGGUGCUAACGUCCGUCGUGAAGAGGGAAACAACCCAGACCGCCAGCUAAGGUCCCCAAGUCAUGGUUAAGUGGGAAACGAAGUGGGAAGGCUUAGACAGCCAGGAUGUUGGCUUAGAAGCAGCCAUCAUUUAAAGAAAGCGUAAUAGCUCACUGGUCGAGUCGGCCUGCGCGGAAGAUGUAACGGGGCUAAACCAUGCACCGAAGCUGCGGCAGCAACAGCAAUGUUGUUGGGUAGGGGAGCGUUCUGUAAGCCGUUGAAGGUGGAUUGAGAGGUCUGCUGGAGGUAUCAGAAGUGCGAAUGCUGACAUAAGUAACGAUAAAGCGGGUGAAAAACCCGCUCGCCGAAAGACCAAGGGUUCCUGUCCAACGUUAAUCGGGGCAGGGUAAGUCGACCCCUAAGGCGAGGCUGAAAAGCAUAGUCGAUGGGAAACGGGUUAAUAUUCCCGUACUAAGGGUUACUGCGAAGUGGGGACGGAGAAGGCUAGGCUAUCCGGGCGACGGUUGUCCCGGUUUAAGCGUGUAGGUGGGUCGUGCAGGCAAAUCCGUACGACUAUAACACUGAGGCGUGAUGACGAGCCACCAAGGUGGUGAAGUAGUUGAUACCCAGCUUCCAGGAAAAGCCGCUAAGCGAUAGGUAAUCAUUAAUCGUACCCCAAACCGACACAGGUGGUUAGGUAGAGAAUACUCAGGCGCUUGAGAGAACUCGGGUGAAGGAACUAGGCAAAAUGGUGCCGUAACUUCGGGAGAAGGCACGCUGGCGUUAGGUGAAAUGGUUAACCCAUGGAGCUGAAGCCAGUCGCAGAUACCAGCUGGCUGCAACUGUUUAUUAAAAACACAGCACUGUGCAAACACGAAAGUGGACGUAUACGGUGUGACGCCUGCCCGGUGCUGGAAGGUUAAUUGAUGGGGUAAGCCGUAAGGCGAAGCUCUUGAUCGAAGCCCCAGUAAACGGCGGCCGUAACUAUAACGGUCCUAAGGUAGCGAAAUUCCUUGUCGGGUAAGUUCCGACCUGCACGAAUGGCGUAAUGAUGGCCAGGCUGUCUCCACCCGAGACUCAGUGAAAUUGAACUCGCUGUGAAGAUGCAGUGUACCCGCGGCAAGACGGAAAGACCCCGUGAACCUUUACUAUAGCUUGACACUGAACAUUGAGCCUUGAUGUGUAGGAUAGGUGGGAGGCUAGGAAGUGUGGACGCCAGUCUGCAUGGAGCCAACGUUGAAAUACCACCCUUUAAUGUUUGAUGUUCUAACUUAGGCCCGUUAUCCGGGCUGAGGACAGUGUCUGGUGGGUAGUUUGACUGGGGCGGUCUCCUCCCAAAGUGUAACGGAGGAGCACGAAGGUUGGCUAAUCACGGUCGGACAUCGUGAGGUUAGUGCAAAGGCAUAAGCCAGCUUGACUGCGAGCGUGACGGCGCGAGCAGGUACGAAAGUAGGUCUUAGUGAUCCGGUGGUUCUGAAUGGAAGGGCCAUCGCUCAACGGAUAAAAGGUACUCCGGGGAUAACAGGCUGAUACCGCCCAAGAGUUCAUAUCGACGGCGGUGUUUGGCACCUCGAUGUCGGCUCAUCACAUCCUGGGGCUGAAGUAGGUCCCAAGGGUAUGGCUGUUCGCCAUUUAAAGUGGUACGCGAGCUGGGUUUAGAACGUCGUGAGACAGUUCGGUCCCUAUCUGUCGUGGGCGAAGGAAGAUUGAGGGGGGCUGCUCCUAGUACGAGAGGACCGGAGUGGACGCACCACUGGUGUACAGGUUGUCAUGCCAAUGGCAUCGCCUGGUAGCUAAGUGCGGAAGAGAUAACCGCUGAAAGCAUCUAAGCGGGAAACUUGCCUCAAGAUGAGUCUUCCCUGACAGUAAUGUCCUAUAAGGGGUGUUCGAGACGAGGACGUAGAUAGGCUGGGUGUGUAAGCGUAGCGAUACGUUGAGCUAACCAGUACUAAUGACCCGAGAGGCUUAACCUG
Molecule: ribosomal RNA, 3106 nt
Filed under: Arsenophonus nasoniae (son-killer infecting Nasonia vitripennis)
Lineage: Bacteria; Pseudomonadati; Pseudomonadota; Gammaproteobacteria; Enterobacterales; Morganellaceae
Description: 23S ribosomal RNA
Rfam family: Bacterial large subunit ribosomal RNA
Source: RNAcentral